Molecule: ribosomal RNA, 756 nt
Filed under: Triticum aestivum (bread wheat)
Lineage: Eukaryota; Viridiplantae; Streptophyta; Magnoliopsida; Poales; Poaceae
Description: partial small subunit ribosomal RNA
Source: RNAcentral
AUGUAUGCCGACGAUGUGGCCAUCUUCGUCAACCACAUCAGAAACGAAGUGGAGGCGCUACGUCUAAUUCUAAGUGCCUUUUGGGAGGCCAUCGGUUUGCGAGUGAACUUCCAAAAGAGCACGAUCUUGCCAAUUAAUGAGGAGCGCUUUGACGUGGAGCAUGCGACGGCACCACUCGGAGCACCAUGUGGCAGCUUCCCAUGCAAAUUCCUAGGGCUUGUGUUGUCUCUUCGCAAGCUGCACAAGAUUGACUUCCAGCCGCUCUUAGACAAACUGCUGGCUCGGCUAGCAUGAUGGAAGCUCAAGAUGUUUGCUGCGGCUGGAAGGCUAGUGCUCGUCAACGCCGUUCUCACCGCCUUCACCACCUACUGGAUGUCAAUACAGGCUCUACCUCCCUGGGUGCGCAGGCAGAUUGACAGACUCAGGAGGGCAUGGCUUUGGCGGUGCCAAGAAGAGUGCCACGGUGGCCAUUGCAAGGUGGCUUGGGCCAGGAUCUACCGUCCAAAGGAGCUGGGCAGGCUCGGGAUCCUCGAUCUCGAGCGGUUCGGGUUGGCGCUACGCCUGCGGUGGCUUUGGCGCGAGCGCACGGCCACCGACAGGCCAUGGAUUGGGCUGCCGGUGCCCUGCGGCCACUUGGAGCGCACCAUUUUUGCGGCGGCGACGCGCGCACGGCUAGGGGAUGGGAGGACCGCUACCUUCUAGUACGAUAGUUGGAUGCAUGGCGAGGAACCAUGCUUGGUUGCCCCGGUGGUUUUU